AGUGAACGCUGGCGGUAGGCCUAACACAUGCAAGUCGAACGGCAGCACAGUAAGAGCUUGCUCUUACGGGUGGCGAGUGGCGGACGGGUGAGGAAUACAUCGGAAUCUACUUUUUCGUGGGGGAUAACGUAGGGAAACUUACGCUAAUACCGCAUACGACCUACGGGUGAAAGCAGGGGAUCUUCGGACCUUGCGCAAUUGAAUGAGCCGAUGUCGGAUUAGCUAGUUGGCGGGGUAAAGGCCCACCAAGGCGACGAUCCGUAGCUGGUCUGAGAGGAUGAUCAGCCACACUGGAACUGAGACACGGUCCAGACUCCUACGGGAGGCAGCAGUGGGGAACAUUGGACAAAGGGCGCAAGCCUGAUCCAGCCAUACCGCGUGGGUGAAGAAGGCCUUCGGGUUGUAAAGCCCUUUUGUUGGGAAAGAAAAGCAGCAGGUUAAUACCCCGCUGUUCUGACGGUACCCAAAGAAUAAGCACCGGCUAACUUCGUG
RNAcentral lists this ribosomal RNA (492 nucleotides) under uncultured bacterium. Its description in RNAcentral is "partial 16S ribosomal RNA". It matches the Rfam family "Bacterial small subunit ribosomal RNA", at positions 29 to 507 of the family's 1533-position model. The record is from RNAcentral.